UACGUAGGGGGCAAGCGUUGUCCGGAAUCAUUGGGCGUAAAGCGCGUGUAGGCGGCCCGAUAAGUCCGCUGUGAAAGUCCAGGGCUCAACCCUGGAAUGCCGGUGGAUACUGUCGGGCUCGAGUCCGGAAGAGGCGAGUGGAAUUCCUGGUGUAGCGGUGAAAUGCGCAGAUAUCGGGUGGAACACCAGCGGCGAAGGCGGCAUCCUGGCCCUGUACUGACGCUGAGGCGCGAUAGCGUGGGGAGCAAACGGG
RNAcentral lists this ribosomal RNA (253 nucleotides) under uncultured bacterium. Its description in RNAcentral is "partial 16S ribosomal RNA". It matches the Rfam family "Bacterial small subunit ribosomal RNA", at positions 524 to 776 of the family's 1533-position model. The record is from RNAcentral.